CUUGAGCUGUCUCAUUAGUAAUAAUCUCAACUACCGCCUGUAGUCUAAUAAUGCGGUUGAGCAUAUAUAAUCGGAGUUCUAUAUCCAUAAGUGCCAUCUUCUGCCCAAGUAGCAGGUCCAUAAUAAUUAAUAAUACGUUGAGGGGGCCACUCAUUAUCUUCCCAGCUACCUGUAUUCAAGGAUGCUCUCUCCCUUUUAUGAUUUACAUCGUAAACCUUAACUCCCAAGGUCUCUCCUGUUUCAAUUGGCAACAAGAAGAAGGAUGGCUUUGGCAUACCUAAUACACAUGCCCCUUCCCAAUCUUGUGGUAACUCCGAAUAAGUUUUCUUACCACAAAUCCAGUAUAAAUUUGCUGGGGCUUUCCAACUAGAUGAGUGUAAUUGGAAAACGGAUUAGUAGGUUCCGAGACAUUUGAAGCUGACCACCAAGUAGUAUUUUUAGUAUUAACAUUAUAGGCUUUUUGUCCCAAGCAAGUUAGCUCACCUACAGACGUGUUAUACAUUGUCCCUUUCCUGGCUAUACAAACAUGACCUAUAAUGGAGGUUUUUAACCACCAUUCCAAUUUACUUCUAGUACUUACUUGAUGAUCAGACUGGAAAGGUAUCUGUUGUUCAUAUGUCUCAGAGCCAGGGUACCAUAUUUCCUUUGCCUCCCAUGGCCACUGGUCUCCCAUAUUAGUACCUCCACACACAUAGCAAUUAGUUACAUUAAGACUACCUGCAAUACCCUCAGCCAAAUCAAUAAAUAGGUUGUUAACAUUAUGGGGAAUUUUAUCCUCAAUACUCAUCUCC
Pelobates cultripes (western spadefoot toad) is the source of this 791-nucleotide non-coding RNA. The record is from the annotation of a GenBank genome assembly. NCBI's taxonomy places the organism in Eukaryota, Metazoa, Chordata, Amphibia, Anura, Pelobatidae.